UCUCCAGUUCCCAACAAGUUCCUCAUC
RNAcentral lists this non-coding RNA (27 nucleotides) under Homo sapiens (human). Lineage: Eukaryota; Metazoa; Chordata; Mammalia; Primates; Hominidae. The record is from RNAcentral.